UACGUAGGGGGCGAGCGUUAUCCAGAUUUACUGGGCGUAAAGCGCGUGUAGGCGGCUGGUUAGGUGUGAUGUGAAAUCCUCGGGCUCAACCCGAGAACUGCAUUGCAAACCGGCCUGGCUAGAGUGCAGGAGAGGGAAGCGGAAUUCCAGGUGUAGCGGUGAAAUGCGUAGAUAUUGGGAGGAACACCAGUGGCGAAGGCGGCUCACUGGACCGGAACUGACGCUGAGGCGCGAAAGCGUGGGGAGCAAACAGG
RNAcentral lists this ribosomal RNA (254 nucleotides) under uncultured bacterium. Its description in RNAcentral is "partial 16S ribosomal RNA". It matches the Rfam family "Bacterial small subunit ribosomal RNA", at positions 524 to 776 of the family's 1533-position model. The record is from RNAcentral.